UUCAAAAAUUGCAAAUGCAUUGGCCCAAUCUUUUAGCUUCAAGAAUCCAUUGAUUAACAUGGAGUAAGUCUUCAUGUUGUGUUUUAUACCAGCUGAUUCCAUAAUUUUGCUAACCUCCAGAGCUUUAGAGAUUUUACCAACCUUAGUGUAUAGAUUGAUGAGGCAUCCAUAGCUAACAACUGAGGGCGUAAAUCCACAUUCCUUAAGUCUUUGAAAUACAGUCAGACAUUUCUCUGCAUUGCCAAUCAUGGUGUAGCCAUCCAUCAUGGUGUGAUA
Molecule: unclassified non-coding RNA, 276 nt
Filed under: Hevea brasiliensis (rubber tree)
Lineage: Eukaryota; Viridiplantae; Streptophyta; Magnoliopsida; Malpighiales; Euphorbiaceae
Source: RNAcentral